Molecule: transfer RNA, 86 nt
Filed under: Dehalococcoidia bacterium
Lineage: Bacteria; Bacillati; Chloroflexota; Dehalococcoidia
Description: tRNA-Ser
Rfam family: tRNA
About the family: Transfer RNA (tRNA) molecules are approximately 80 nucleotides in length. Their secondary structure includes four short double-helical elements and three loops (D, anti-codon, and T loops).
Source: RNAcentral
GGAAGGGUGCCCGAAUGGUAAGGAGUCGCACUGCUAAUGCGAUAAGGCUAACUGCCGUACAGGUUCAAGUCCUGUCCCUUCCGCCA